AAGACUUUACUUUCAGGGAUCAUUUCUGUAGUUCAUUACUAGAGAAGAUUCUCUGCAUGUGUAGAGCACCCGAAACCACCAUGAGGAGAUGGAAUGUUCUCUCCUGAGCAUGAAGCUGGCUCUUGGUGUUGCUUUGGUAACUGCCAUUUGCCAUCAAUGGUCAUUCUUCUCUCUCCUUGGAGAGAGUAAGAGGGACAGAACACUGUCUGAGUGGG
Molecule: small nucleolar RNA, 215 nt
Organism: Artibeus jamaicensis (Jamaican fruit-eating bat)
Lineage: Eukaryota; Metazoa; Chordata; Mammalia; Chiroptera; Phyllostomidae
Product: small nucleolar RNA U3
Exons: 1
Source: RefSeq, a predicted model, not a curated record